UACGUAGGGGGCAAGCGUUGUCCGGAAUUAUUGGGCGUAAAGAGCGUGUAGGCGGCCAGAUAAGUCCGCUGUGAAAUCUCGAGGCUCAACUUCGAGCUGUCGGUGGAAACUAUCUGGCUAGAGUCCGGAAGAGGAGAAUGGAAUUCCUGGUGUAGCGGUGAAAUGCGCAGAUAUCAGGAGGAACACCAGCGGCGAAGGCGCCGCUCUGGGCCGUAACUGACGCUGAGGAGCGAAAGCAUGGGUAGCAAACAGG
RNAcentral lists this ribosomal RNA (253 nucleotides) under uncultured bacterium. RNAcentral's name for it is "partial 16S ribosomal RNA". It matches the Rfam family "Bacterial small subunit ribosomal RNA", at positions 524 to 776 of the family's 1533-position model. The record is from RNAcentral.